AAAUCUUAUUGGAAAGCAUUUAAUGAAUAUCUUGGUAAAAUUUUUGGACGUUACGUAACGAAAAUUGUAAGUAAGUUUUGACUUUUUAUCUACAAGUUUCCAAUUUUGAAAGAAUAAAUUCAAAUAAAUAAAACAUUGUGAACUGAAUCAUCUUAGUAACUUAGUUAAGUAAAUCAAAUGAGAAGUCGUAAGUAAUGGUGAAUCAAAACGAUUUAGGCUUAAAUUAAUAUAUUAUAUUUAUAAACCCAAAGAAAGUUAAAGUCUUUUAAUAAAUAUAUUAAAAAAUUUAAUUUGAAGUAAUACGGUUUUUUAUAUUGUAUGAAUAUAGGAGAACCACCUUCUAAGCUUAAAUAAAAAUUUAACCGAUAGUGAAUGAGUACCGUGAGGAAAAGUUGAAAAAAACCGUUUAGGUAUAUAUUGCAAUUGAAUGUUUAUAAAUUUUCGAAGUUUUUUACAACGGAUUGCCUUUUGUAUAAUGAGUCAGUAAGUUAAAAUGUAUUGCAAGUUUAAAUUUAAAAUAAAGACAUUUUUAAGUAAUAUGUUUUAAACCUGAAACCAAGUGAUCUAAUUGCAAACAAGUUGAAAAUUCUUUAAACAGUUUUUGAGGACUGAACUCACAUAUGUAGCAAUAUAUGGAGAUGAUUUGUAGUUAGGGGUGAAAGGCCAAUCAAACUUGGAAAUAGCCGGUUUUUCACGAAAAGUAUUUUAGUACUACGUUAGAUUAAAUUAAUUUUAAGUAGAGUUACAAAUUAAAUAAAGGGAUUUAAUCGUUUACUAAGUUUAUUUUAACUUCGAAGUAUAAUUAAAUAAAUCUAACAGUCAGUCUUAUGGCGAUAAGGUCUUAAGACAAAAGGAAAACAAUCCAGAUCGAAUAUUAAGAUUUUUAAAUUACAAUUUAGAAUAAGAUUAAUUACAAUUUCAAAUUUAAUUAGGGUAGGCUUAGAAGCAGCCAUUCUUUAGUAAAAGCGUUUUAGCUUGUUAUUAUUUUUUUUAAUUAAUCAAAAAUUUCAGAAAAUUAAAUUGUAUAUCGAAAUAACGAAUUAAACAAUGGUAGUGAAACAUUCUGUUAUUUUUUAUUUAAUUGUUAAAUAAACAAAAUUAAUCAGAAGUGCUAAUGCUGACAUGAGUAGCGUAAAUUAUGUAAAAAAAUCAUAAUCAUUUUGUCAAGGGUUUCAAUGUAAAUUUAAUUUUAUUGAGUGAGUCGGUCCUUAAAAAUUAAACGAUUGUUAAAUUUGAUAGGAAAUUUUUUAUACUAUUUAUAUGUAAUAUUUUUUUUAAAAUAUUAUUAAAAAAUCAAAUUAUUAAAUUUUAAUUAGUUUAAUAGGUUAAAUUAAUUUAAUAAAGUGGUUUCGAGAAAAAAUUAUAAUAAAUUAUAACCGUACUUAAACCGACACUGGUGACUUUAGUGAAUAACUUAAAAUGAUUGAAUAAAUUAUGUUGAAGGAACUCGGCAAAAUAACUCUGUACGUUCGCAAUAAAGAGAUCCUUUUUAAGUAGGAAUAAAAAAAAAGCAACGACUGGUUACCAAAACCACAGGACUCUGCUAAUUAGUAAUAAGCUGUAUAGAGUCUGACGUCUGCCCAGUGCUUAAAAAUAAGUUAAUUUUAGUUAUAGCUAAAUUAUAAAUUUAAGUAAACGGCGGUUCUAACUAUAAGGAUCCUUAGGUAGCGAAAUUCCUUGGCGGGUAAAUUCCGUCCUGCAUGAAUGACGUCACGAUUGCUUUACUGUCUCCAACAUAAAUUCAGCGAAAUUACAAAACUCAUGAAAAUGUGAGUUACUUACAGUAAGACGGAAAGACCCUAGAUCCUUUACUUAAUUUUUAUAUUGAAUUCGAAUUAUUUUUACAUAGCAUAAGAGGGAGUAUAAAACUUUAUUGAAAUACCACUUAAAAAUAAUUUAUUUUCUAAAUUUACAAAAGUUAGUAAAGACCGUAUAAAAAAGAAAGUUUACUUGGGACGAGUACCUCCCAAAGUGUAACGGAGGUGUACAAAAGUUAGUAUCAAUUAUUUUUUUAAAAUAAUGAAGCGUAUAAUAGCAUAAACUUACUUAACAAUUAAAUUUAUAAAUUAAAUUGGGAUAAACGUCAGUUAUAGUGACCCGGUGUUAAAGUGUGGAAUUUAGUAUCGUUUAACAAUUAAAAGGAACUCUAGGGAUAACAGAUUCAUCGUGAUUAAAAGUUCAUAUUGAAAUCACGGUUUGAUACCUCGAUGUCGACUCAUCUUAUCCUGGAAUAGUAGUUUAUUCCAAGGGUCUAGUUGUUCGCUAGUUAAAAAGGUACGUGAGUUGGGUUCAGAACGUCGUGAGACAGUUCGGUCCCUAUCUACUGUAAGUAUUUGAAAAAUUAAAAGAAUAUUUUUAGUACGAGAGGACUGAAAUAUGUUAACCACUGGUGUAAUAAUUACUAAACCGUUAGUAAUGUUAUGUAGCUAUGUUAAUAAUGUUUAAAUACUGAAAGAAUCAAAAGUAUUAAAACAUCUUUUUAUUUUUUUCAUGAAUAUUCUAAACGAUAAUUAGAAAAUUAGGUUUAAAUAAAAAAUUAGUAAUAAUCAUUUUUUAAUAAAUCCUAAAUAUUCAUUUAGAUU
This 2582-nucleotide ribosomal RNA is filed under the name Coeloseira compressa. RNAcentral's name for it is "large subunit ribosomal RNA". It matches the Rfam family "Bacterial large subunit ribosomal RNA". Lineage: Eukaryota; Rhodophyta; Florideophyceae; Rhodymeniales; Champiaceae. The record is from RNAcentral.